RNAcentral lists this ribosomal RNA (250 nucleotides) under uncultured bacterium. RNAcentral's name for it is "partial 16S ribosomal RNA". It matches the Rfam family "Bacterial small subunit ribosomal RNA", at positions 82 to 334 of the family's 1533-position model. The record is from RNAcentral.
CCAAAGCUGGCGACCGGCGCACGGGUGAGUAACACGUAUCCAACCUGCCUCAUACUCGGGGAUAGCCUCUCGAAAGAAAGAUUAAUAUCCGAUAGCAUAUAUUUCCCGCAUGGGUUUUAUAUUAAAGAAAUUCGGUAUGAGAUGGGGAUGCGUUCCAUUAGUUUGUUGGGGGGUAACGGCCCACCAAGACUACGAUGGAUAGGGGUUCUGAGAGGAAGGUCCCCCACAUUGGAACUGAGACACGGUCCAA